UACGUAGGUCCCGAGCGUUAUCCGGAUUUAUUGGGCGUAAAGCGUGCGCAGGCGGUGUGAUAAGUCUGAAGUGAAAGGCGGUGGCUUAACCAUAGUAUGCUUUGGAAACUGUUUAACUUGAGUGCAGAAGGGGGGAGUGGAAUUCCAUGUGUAGCGGUGAAAUGCGUAGAUAUAUGGAGGAACACCGGUGGCGAAAGCGGCUUUCUGGACUGUAACUGACGCUGAGGCUCGAAAGCGUGGGGAGCAAACAGG
Molecule: ribosomal RNA, 252 nt
Filed under: uncultured bacterium
Lineage: Bacteria
Description: partial 16S ribosomal RNA
Rfam family: Bacterial small subunit ribosomal RNA
Source: RNAcentral